RNAcentral lists this ribosomal RNA (479 nucleotides) under uncultured bacterium. RNAcentral's name for it is "partial 16S ribosomal RNA". It matches the Rfam family "Bacterial small subunit ribosomal RNA", at positions 28 to 507 of the family's 1533-position model. The record is from RNAcentral.
GAUGAACGCUAGCGGGAGGCCUAACACAUGCAAGCCGAGCGGUAGAGUUUCUUCGGAAACUUGAGAGCGGCGCACGGGUGCGUAACACGUGUGCAACCUACCUUUAUCUGGGGGAUAGCCUUUCGAAAGGAAGAUUAAUACCCCAUAAUAUAAUGAUUGGCAUCAAUUAUUAUUGAAAACUCCGGUGGAUAGAGAUGGGCACGCGCAAGAUUAGAUAGUUGGUGAGGUAACGGCUCACCAAGUCAAUGAUCUUUAGGGGUCCUGAGAGGGAGAUCCCCCACACUGGUACUGAGACACGGACCAGACUCCUACGGGAGGCAGCAGUGAGGAAUAUUGGACAAUGGGUGAGAGCCUGAUCCAGCCAUCCCGCGUGAAGGAUGACGGUCCUAUGGAUUGUAAACUUCUUUUGUACAGGGAUAAACCUACCCCCGUGAGGGUAGCUGAAGGUACUGUACGAAUAAGCACCGGCUAACUCCGUG